RNAcentral lists this transfer RNA (87 nucleotides) under Apibacter adventoris. RNAcentral's name for it is "tRNA-Leu". It matches the Rfam family "tRNA". Rfam says of the family: Transfer RNA (tRNA) molecules are approximately 80 nucleotides in length. Their secondary structure includes four short double-helical elements and three loops (D, anti-codon, and T loops). Lineage: Bacteria; Pseudomonadati; Bacteroidota; Flavobacteriia; Flavobacteriales; Weeksellaceae. The record is from RNAcentral.
GCCCGGAUGGCGGAAUUGGUAGACGCGCUGGACUCAAAAUCCAGUGAUAGCAAUAUCGUGUGGGUUCGAUUCCCACUCCGGGUACAA